GGAUACCCGAGGGAAACUUCGGUUAAUACGGUAUAAGACCACACUACCGCAUGGUAGAGGGGUAAAAGGGGCAACCUGGUAUGAGAUGGACUCGCGUCGCAUUAGCUAGUUGGUGAGGUAACGGCCCACCAAGGCGACGAUGCGUAGCCGACCUGAGAGGGUGAUCGGCCACAUUGGGACUGAGAUACGGCCCAGACUCCUACGGGAGGCAGCAGUGGGGAAUAUUGGGCAAUGGAGGAAACUCUGACCCAGCAAUGCCGCGUGAAUGAAGAAGGUCUUCGGAUUGUAAAGUUCUUUAGUCAGGGAAGAAGUCAAUGACGGUACCUGAAGAAUAAGCUCCGGCUAACUACGUGCCAGCAGCCGCGGUAAUACGUAGGGAGCAAGCGUUGUUCGGAAUGACUGGGCGUAAAGGGUGCGUAGGCGGUUGUACAAGUUAGAAGUGAAAUACCCAGGGCUUAACUCGGGUGCUGCUUCUAAAACUGUAUGACUUGAGUGCAGUAGAGGUUAGUGGAAUUCCUAGUGUAGCGGUGGAAUGCGUAGAUAUUAGGAGGAACACCAGAGGCGAAGGCGGCUAACUGGACUGCAACUGACGCUGAGGCACGAAAGUGUGGGGAGCAAACAGGAUUAGAUACCCUGGUAGUCCACACUGUAAACGAUGGAUACUAGAUGUAGGAGGUAUCGACUCCUUCUGCGUCGCA
This 698-nucleotide ribosomal RNA is filed under the name uncultured bacterium. RNAcentral describes it as "bacterial SSU rRNA". It matches the Rfam family "Bacterial small subunit ribosomal RNA", at positions 141 to 850 of the family's 1533-position model. The record is from RNAcentral.